RNAcentral lists this ribosomal RNA (497 nucleotides) under uncultured bacterium. RNAcentral's name for it is "partial 16S ribosomal RNA". It matches the Rfam family "Bacterial small subunit ribosomal RNA", at positions 28 to 507 of the family's 1533-position model. The record is from RNAcentral.
GGCGAACGCUGGCGGCGUGCCUAAUACAUGCAAGUUGAGCGCUGAAGGUUGGUACUUGUACCAACUGGAUGAGCAGCGAACGGGUGAGUAACGCGUGGGGAAUCUGCCUUUGAGCGGGGGACAACAUUUGGAAACGAAUGCUAAUACCGCAUAAAAACUUUAAACACAAGUUUUAAGUUUGAAAGAUGCAAUUGCAUCACUCAAAGAUGAUCCCGCGUUGUAUUAGCUAGUUGGUGAGGUAAAGGCUCACCAAGGCGAUGAUACAUAGCCGACCUGAGAGGGUGAUCGGCCACAAUGGGACUGAGACAUGGCCCAAACUCCUACGGGAGGCAGCAGUAGGGAAUCUUCGGCAAUGGACGAAAGUCUGACCGAGCAACGCCGCGGGAGGGAAGAAGGGUCUCGGAUCGUAAAACUCUGUUGGUAGAGAAGAACGUUGGUGAGAGUGGAAAGCUCAUCAAGUGACGGUAACUACCCAGAAAGGGACGGCUAACUACGUG